Molecule: unclassified non-coding RNA, 366 nt
Filed under: fungal sp.
Lineage: Eukaryota; Fungi
Description: partial internal transcribed spacer region
Rfam family: Eukaryotic small subunit ribosomal RNA (bases 1-46)
Source: RNAcentral
AAGUCGUAACAAGGUUUCCGUAGGUGAACCUGCGGAAGGAUCAUUAACACGUAUCCAACGUUAAACAACCCUGUGAACUUUCAGCGCUCUUGUAGCCCCGGAGGAACAGCAAUCCCGGUAAAUCAAAUGGCGGAAAGAGUUUUGAUUCGGGACCUCUGUCCAAAAGGUAUCAAGUUACAAUCGAGCAGAGCAGUGGCAUGGUUUCCCUAAGCAGUGCAGAAGGAUCCACUGAGUAAGGAUAACGCAUCACGGUUGCCAGAGGUCGAUCACCGGCCGGCAGACAUGUCACCCCUUGCCUAAUCAAGCCUCGCGGAAACGCCGGGCAUAAAAACCGAACAACUGUUAACAAUGGAUAUCUUGGUUCUC